AUACGGAGGGUCCGAGCGUUAUCCGGAAUCAUUGGGUUUAAAGGGUCCGUAGGCGGGAAUCUAAGUCAGUGGUGAAAUCUUGCAGCUCAACUGUAAAAUUGCCAUUGAUACUGGAUUGCUUGAAUUAGUGUGAAGUGGUUAGAAUGUGUAGUGUAGCGGUGAAAUGCAUAGAUAUUAAACAGAAUACCAAUUGCGAAGGCAGAUCACUAACACUAUAUUGACGCUAAGGGACGAAAGCGUGGGGAGCGAACAGGAUUAGAAACCCCGGUAGUCC
RNAcentral lists this ribosomal RNA (274 nucleotides) under uncultured bacterium. Its description in RNAcentral is "partial 16S ribosomal RNA". It matches the Rfam family "Bacterial small subunit ribosomal RNA", at positions 523 to 796 of the family's 1533-position model. The record is from RNAcentral.